GACGAACGCUGGCGGCGUGCUUAACACAUGCAAGUCGAACGGAAAGGCCCUGCUUUUGUGGGGUGCUCGAGUGGCGAACGGGUGAGUAACACGUGAGUAACCUGCCCUUGACUUUGGGAUAACUUCAGGAAACUGGGGCUAAUACCGGAUAGGAGCUCCUGCUGCAUGGUGGGGGUUGGAAAGUUUCGGCGGUUGGGGAUGGACUCGCGGCUUAUCAGCUUGUUGGUGGGGUAGUGGCUUACCAAGGCUUUGACGGGUAGCCGGCCUGAGAGGGUGACCGGCCACAUUGGGACUGAGAUACGGCCCAGAUUCCUACGGGAGGCAGCAGUGGGGAAUAUUGCACAAUGGGCGGAAGCCUGAUGCAGCAACGCCGCGUGCGGAAUGACGGCCUUCGGGUUGUAAACCGCUUUCGCCUGUGACGAAGCGUGAGUGACGGUAAUGGGUAAAGAAGCACCGGCUAACUACGUG
Molecule: ribosomal RNA, 468 nt
Filed under: uncultured bacterium
Lineage: Bacteria
Description: partial 16S ribosomal RNA
Rfam family: Bacterial small subunit ribosomal RNA
Source: RNAcentral